RNAcentral lists this ribosomal RNA (466 nucleotides) under uncultured bacterium. RNAcentral describes it as "partial 16S ribosomal RNA". It matches the Rfam family "Bacterial small subunit ribosomal RNA", at positions 28 to 507 of the family's 1533-position model. The record is from RNAcentral.
GACGAACGCUGGCGGCGUGCUUAACACAUGCAAGUCGAACGGAAAGGCCCUGCUUUUGUGGGGUGCUCGAGUGGCGAACGGGGGAUUAACACGUGAUUAACCGGCCCUGGACUUUGGGAUAACUUCAGGAAACGGGGGCUAAUCGGGUAGGGGAUCCCGGCGUACGGGGGGGGGUGGGAAGAUUCGGCGGGUGGGGAUGGACUCGCGGCUUAUCAGCUUGUUGGUGGGGUAGUGGCUUACCAAGGCUUUGACGGGUAGCCGGCCUGAGAGGGUGACCGGCCACAUUGGGACUGAGAUACGGCCCAGACUCCUACGGGAGGCAGCAGUGGGGAAUAUUGCACAAUGGGCGGAAGCCUGAUGCAGCAACGCCGCGUGCGGGAUGACGGCCUUCGGGUUGUAAACCGCUUUCGCCUGUGACGAAGCGUGAGUGACGGUAAUGGGUAAAGAAGCACCGGCUAACUACGUG